UUAUUAUUAUUGUUGUGGUUGUUGUUGAAAAGAAGGUUAUAAAUUCACCCAUAUAUCCAUACUUUAUUACAGGUAUUCCAAAUCAAUUGGUGGGAAUUAAGUUAACGGGGGAAGGAUUUCCCAAGAUAUUAGAUCUCCAGCUGCAUAUCAGAACCCUCUAGGAUUGCUGGGAUUAUAACUUGCCGCCUCUUACAUAGAUGGUGAGGAAGACAACCUAAUCCAGUGGUUGAAUCUCAAGUGGAUAGAACAAGAAGCUGAUGUCAAGAAAAGAAAUGUUGGGGAUGCCUGUGUGGCUCAGUGGGUUAAGCCUCUGCCUUCAGCUCAGGUCAUGAUCCCAGGGUCCUGGGAUCGAGCCCCGUAUUGGGCUCUCUGCUCAGUGGGGAGCCUGCUUUUCCCCUCUCUCUGCCUGCCUCUCUGCCUACUUGUGAUCUCUGUCUGUCAAAUAAAUAAAUAAAAUCUUUAAAAAAAGAAAAAGAAAAGAAAUGUUGUAGCACAAAGUUAAAAUCCUUUGUUCCUUCCUUAGGUUGAAAAAGCCAACCAUAACAGCAUAGGUGGGGUAGCAGUUCAUUGGGCAAUAACUGAGGACUGAAAGUGGAUCAGUGUAAGGAAAC
This 611-nucleotide long non-coding RNA is filed under the name Mustela putorius furo (domestic ferret). RNAcentral's name for it is "lncRNA (ENSMPUG00000025924.1)". The record is from RNAcentral. Lineage: Eukaryota; Metazoa; Chordata; Mammalia; Carnivora; Mustelidae.